UAAAACCAAGAAGCAAAAACCUAAGACUCUGCCUCCGUCAGGCUAUAAAAAAGAUAAGGAGAAUAAGGAAAAAACGUCUAAACAAUUAGAUUUAAAUAAUGAGUCCAGCGACGAGGACAACUCCGUCAGUGAAUCUGGUAAUUUUACUUUUUAUUUUAACGGAAAUGUUAAUUUUUUAUUUUUAUAAAUUUUUUAUGGCCAUCACGAGCGAUACAAUUAUUAAUGUAAGACAUGUUAUAUGUGCAAAUUUACUGUAAAUUACAAAUAAAAAUAUUGUUUUAAUAGUGACAACUGAAGAUACACGUGCAACCGAUACAGAUGAAAAUCGAGAAAAAAUAAACUCUUCGAUAAAACAUGCGAUACUUUCUAUAUUUAGUUAACGUGUUGCAAAUAAUAUUAUUGACAAUAAUUUCAAAAUGUUAUUUGCAACCAGUAAAUUCUUAUUCUCAUUUUAGAUAGAAAUACAUCAUUUAAGGAUCGCCGAUCAGUUCAAGUACAAACAAGCCUGAGCAAAGACAAAGGUGUGUUACUAUAUAAUAUUACGAUAAUGUAUGUAGCUAUUUAUGUUCUUUUUUGGCAAAUUGUUGAAACUGCGGUCAGUUGAGAAAUGUACAGUUUUGAUACUUUGCAACUUAAUAGGCCUGGGUCACUAUCAUAUAUUAAUUUUAUUUUUCUCUGAAAUUUGGCAUUUUUUAUUAUUAAUGCUACUUCAAAAGUAUUCUUAAGAAUGUACUUUUCUUGUGUAAACGUUGUGAUGUGUAGGUAUAAAAUGUGAUACAAUUUUAGCUGUUUAAACAGUUGGUGUAUACACAGGUCUAACCAAACCCAAAUAGUAAAACGCCUGUUAUAUUUACAAAAUAUGUGCGUAAACUCGUGACAAGUGUUUGUGCAAAUAACAUAUAUGUAAAGCUGCGUCCGUAAAUACUCAGCAACAGUAUCGUAUUUGUUUCAAGCAACGGUUUAUUCGAUAUUUAUUAUAUUUUUGCAGCAACAGUUUACACUUAAAAGUUAAGUUGUGAACAGUUUACUUAUUAUCGAUGGAAAUAUAUUACAUAUGGUUGCUGCAAACAUUUUGCAGCAAUGAUUUACACGUCUUUACUGUAAAAACACCAGAAAUAUGAAUCUUAGACGAAGUUACGAUUUAUCUUACGUAAUAUUUGUAGCGAUAAUACAUAAAUUGUUUUCAGAAAUAGGUUUGUAUGAUUUUACACACUUACGUUUUGCUAUCUGACUAUAAUUACUAAUAUAAUCUAUAGUUUUCUUUUUUCUAUUAUUAGCAUAUAAUUGACGUUUUUUUCCUCUCUGAUGACUCAGGCCCUUUAAUUCAGCCCCAGAUAAACUGUUAUUAACAUUUCGAUGUGUAUAGUACUUUUAAGGUUUACUAUUUGUCCUUUCAGAGUCCUCUGACAAUUUGCGUCUUAUUUUCGGAUGCGUUGGCGCGUGACUAUUCAUGGACAGGACGGAAAAAUACAUUUGCCUUCCAAGGAACAAAAAUGGCUCAAACUCUCAUUGAGACGGUUUUAAAAGACCACCCUAACACAACCCGGAGUGAAAUAGAAAAAAAAAUUAUGGUAUGGUUUCACCAUGCCGGUGAUAGAUGGAAAAGAAGAAAUUCUAUCUAUGUGGGAUCUACAGCUGCAUCUCAAGAAAAAAGUACUACAUAAUACUACCACAUAAUGCUGUUUAUCUUUACCAUGUUAUUUUCUUUAACCGAAAUAAAACUAAAAUUUAUAAAAAGAGACGUGUUCAUAUUACUAGUUAUUGCGAGGAAUAUCACAUGCCUCGGUAGUCGAAUUGGUUAGGACACCUUUACGGAAUAUGGGAGAUCCAGGUUCGAAUCCUGGCUGAGGUAUUAUUUUUCAUAAUACUUUAGUUUUUUUAGGGUUUUGCGGUGGGAGGAAUCAUAGACGCUUGUUUGCAUCAAAAAUUAUUAAAUUGUUUAUUUAAUUGUUAAUUAAACAAUUUUUGAACAGCGUAAACCAAAUGCAUAUUUGUGAAUGUGUAAAUUAAAUUAUUUUUAUUUUGUUUAACAUAAGAUUUAUAAAACUUCUAUCACAGGACAUUCGUACGAAUCCUACAGAAUUUCGUCUCGAAUCGUUACUUUUAUGUUAUUGUUGACCUCGUUGAAUCUCUAUGCGGCUUAUACAGCCAAUAUCGUGAGUUUGUUGCAGUCUGCCAUAGAUUUUAUCAAAACUUUUGGAUCUCGUAAAUAGUUCUUUACAACUGGGUGUACAACAUGUAGUGCACAACAAAUAUUAUUUCAAGUUCGGUAUAACAUCGAAACCGUAAAAUUAAUAUAAAAUUUUUUUUUAAAGAAGAAAUGGUAUAAUCUUUAGAAGUAUUAUUUGUAAUGUCUGUUAUUACGUAAUAAAUUUUAGUGAUUAUAGAAUUAUUUGUUUAGUACGAGUAAUAUGUUAAUAUGCUAAGACACAAUAAUCGAUUUCUUACAAGGAAUUUUUACUCUGGGCAUUUUCGAAAACCAGAUAACACACAAUGUUUAAAAUCAGGACAUAAGACGAUUUAUUAUGCGGUGUUAUUACAUUUUUAAUGUUUUAAUAAAUAUUUUAGCACUUUUAAUUUAAAAUUGCUUGAAAAACAUACUGAUGAAUAUAAUUUCCGUAUUCAUAUAGUCGAUCCUCAAUUCUCAAGAUCGGUCUGUUUUUAUCUCACGUAUGGUAAAACUCGAAACAAAGAAAGACUAAUCUUGAAAAAUUAGGAACGACUAUAAAUACAGAGUCUGUUGUAACUCGUAAUUGCUGCUUUCAGGGAGUUCGCAAUUAGUGGACGUAUGAGCUCUCGGUGAGCUUAUAUGGAAGCUUUCUGGGAACUACUUUGAAGCUUGCAGGAGCUCUUAAAACAUGAUUUCUGAACUUCCUUUGAGCUAAAACAUAGUUCUCUGGGAGCUUAUAUGAAAGUUCCUCGGGAACUACUUUGACGCCCGCAGGAAGCUCUUAAAAUAUGAUUUUUGAAUUCUUUGCAAACUAAAAUAAAGCUCCCAGGGUGUUAUUUAUUCGCCUCGCAAGGAAAGAUGAGGAUAUCGCGGUGAACUAAUACGGUCUACACUGAAUAUUGAGAUAAAUAUCUUUAUUGCUAAACUCUUUGCAGAUCGACAAGCCCGUCCGUUCGCUAUCGGGGCUUGCGAGCGACUGCCCCCUCUUCUCCGCGCUCCACCGAGCCGAUCUCAGUCAAACAUAGGACGAUCGCGAGCUCGGUCUCGCUUCCUGUAUGUUUCCAGGACACAGGGAGUUCAUAUGGAAGUUUCCCGGGAACUAUUUUGAAACUUACAGAGAGCUCUUAAAACAUGAUUUCUGAACUCCCAGCGAGCUUAAAUAAAACUCUCAAAGAGCUCUCAAAAGCGGACAUAGCAGCUGCCAGAGAGCUCCGUGCGAAUUUUUUGGAAGCUUAAAUGAAGCUUAUGAAAAUUUUGUAAGCUCCUCGGGAGCUCCCCGUGCUGUAUGGGUUAAUGCCUCAUUAUCAAAUGAUUUCUCUGUAAAUGCACACUCACUCUCUUCUACAAAAUUUGUAUCUUUUAUAGCAUUCAAGUUUGAAUUUCUUUCUCUGAUUUUAUUAAAUAUAAAUUUUUUAAUUUAACAAAAAUAUUGUCAUAAAAACACAUUAUUAAAUAUCAGAAUAUCAGAAUAAAAUAAUUUGAAACUUGCCAUUGAUUGAAGUUGUAUCAAUUUCUGAUCCGCUUGAACUAGCUUGUGCUGCUGGUCUACAACCGUACAAUAAUUCUAAUUCAUUA
This 3745-nucleotide long non-coding RNA is filed under the name Monomorium pharaonis (pharaoh ant). RNAcentral describes it as "uncharacterized LOC118645825". The stretch from base 1780 to 1852 matches the Rfam family "tRNA". The record is from RNAcentral. Lineage: Eukaryota; Metazoa; Arthropoda; Insecta; Hymenoptera; Formicidae.